GAUGAAGAACGUAGCGAAAUGCGAUAAGUAAUGUGAAUUGCAGAAUUCAGUGAAUCAUCGAAUCUUUGAACGCACAUUGCGCCCGCCAGUAUUCUGGCGGGCAUGCCUGUUCGAGCGUCAUUUCAACCCUCAAGCCCCCGGGCCUGGCGUUGGGGAUCGGCGGAGCCCCCCGUGGGCACACGCCGUCCCCCAAAUACAGUGGCGGUCCCGCCGCAGCUUCCAUCGCGUAGUAGCUAACACCUCGCGACUGGAGAGCGGCGCGGCCACGCCGUAAAACACCCAACUCUUCUGAAGUUGACCUCGAAUCAGGUAGGAAUACCCGCUGAACUUAAGCAUAUCAAUAAGCGGAGGA
Molecule: unclassified non-coding RNA, 352 nt
Filed under: soil metagenome
Description: partial contains 5.8S ribosomal RNA, internal transcribed spacer 2, and large subunit ribosomal RNA
Rfam family: 5.8S ribosomal RNA (bases 1-120)
Source: RNAcentral